AGCGGCGGACGGGUGAGUAAUGCCUGGGAAUAUGCCCUGAUGUGGGGGAUAACUAUUGGAAACGAUAGCUAAUACCGCAUAAUCUCUUCGGAGCAAAGAGGGGGACCUUUGGGCCUCUCGCGUCAGGAUUAGCCCAGGUGGGAUUAGCUUGUUGGUGAGGUAAUGGCUCACCAAGGCAACGAUCCCUAGCUGGUCUGAGAGGAUGAUCAGCCACACUGGAACUGAGACACGGUCCAGACUCCUACGGGAGGCAGCAGUGGGGAAUAUUGCACAAUGGGGGAAACCCUGAUGCAGCCAUGCCGCGUGUGUGAAGAAGGCCUUCGGGUUGUAAAGCACUUUCAGUAGGGAGGAAGGUAGUGUAGUUAACACCUGCACUAUUUGACGUUACCUACAGAAGAAGCACCGGCUAACUCCGUGCCAGCAGCCGCGGUAAUACGGAGGGUGCGAGCGUUAAUCGGAAUUACUGGGCGUAAAGCGCAUGCAGGCGGCCUGUUAAGUCAGAUGUGAAAGCCCGGGGCUUAACCUCGGAAUUGCAUUUGAAACUGGCAGG
Molecule: ribosomal RNA, 550 nt
Filed under: uncultured bacterium
Lineage: Bacteria
Description: bacterial SSU rRNA
Rfam family: Bacterial small subunit ribosomal RNA
Source: RNAcentral